This 413-nucleotide long non-coding RNA is filed under the name Urocitellus parryii (Arctic ground squirrel). RNAcentral's name for it is "lncRNA (ENSUPAG00010013574.1)". Lineage: Eukaryota; Metazoa; Chordata; Mammalia; Rodentia; Sciuridae. The record is from RNAcentral.
CUUUAGUGUUCCAUGGCUGAGUCCGAGUGCACUGCAAGCAAUGCCUAUUUUUUUUUUUUUUUCACAGAUUCAUCAUUUGUUGGCAGCCCUUGGUGGGAAGAGGAUGGCUUGGGCUCUGAGAGUCAAAGAAGUGGAGAUGGGGCCUGUGCUUCUCCUUGUCCUGCUCCUGCUUCUCCAGCACCAGGGACCAGUCUUCCUCCUUCACCAGCUGGACACUCACCAGACAAGUGCGAGUAAAACUGCACCUGAUGGCCUGGGAAGAAUAGCAGGAGUGACAUUGUUCCAUUCUCCAUGCCUCCUGUAGAAGCACCGGCACCAGUAUAAUUCCCAACAUCUUCUCUUCUGUAGUCACAUAGGCUGGUGGCAGGGGUUAGUGUUUUGUAGAAUCAUUGUGAAGAUUAAGAAAGAACCAG